RNAcentral lists this ribosomal RNA (440 nucleotides) under uncultured bacterium. RNAcentral describes it as "partial 16S ribosomal RNA". It matches the Rfam family "Bacterial small subunit ribosomal RNA", at positions 338 to 795 of the family's 1533-position model. The record is from RNAcentral.
CCUACGGGUGGCAGCAGUGGGGAAUAUUGCACAAUGGGGGAAACCCUGAUCCAGCGACGCCGCGUGCGUGAAGAAGUAUUUCGGUACGUAAAGCUCUAUUAGCAGGGAAGAAAAUGACGGUACCUGACUAAGAAGCCACGGCUAACUACGUGCCAGCAGCCGCGGUAAUACGUAGGGGGCAAGCGUUAUCCGGAUUUACUGGGUGUAAAGGGAGCGUAGGCGGCAGGGCAAGUCUGGAGUGAAAUCCCAUGGCUUAACCAUGGAACUGCUUUGGAUACUGUGCAGCUAGAGUGUAGGAGAGGUAAGCGGAAUGUCUGGUGUAGCGGUGAAAUGCGUAGAGAUUAGGCGGAACACCAGUGGCGAAGGCAGCUUACCGAACUGUAACUGACGUUGAGGCACGAAAGCGUGGGGAGCAAACAGGAUUAGAUACCCGAGUAGUC